RNAcentral lists this transfer RNA (56 nucleotides) under Camelus bactrianus (Bactrian camel). It matches the Rfam family "tRNA", at positions 9 to 63 of the family's 71-position model. Rfam says of the family: Transfer RNA (tRNA) molecules are approximately 80 nucleotides in length. Lineage: Eukaryota; Metazoa; Chordata; Mammalia; Artiodactyla; Camelidae. RNAcentral also lists the same sequence under 2 other names. The record is from Rfam by way of RNAcentral.
AGGUCAGUGGUAGAGCGCAUGCUUAGCAUGCAUGAGGUCCUGGGUUCAAUCCCCAG